UAAGUCUUUGCCGUCUCCCCAGGGU
Molecule: non-coding RNA, 25 nt
Filed under: Mus musculus (house mouse)
Lineage: Eukaryota; Metazoa; Chordata; Mammalia; Rodentia; Muridae
Source: RNAcentral